RNAcentral lists this non-coding RNA (336 nucleotides) under Felis catus (domestic cat). Lineage: Eukaryota; Metazoa; Chordata; Mammalia; Carnivora; Felidae. The record is from RNAcentral.
CACAAAAGGAGGGAGGGAGAGAGCGAGAGCCAGAACUUCCUCCACCUUCGGGAGCACCAGGCGGAGUGGGGGGCUUGCAGGGGAGACUGACGAGCCGGGUGAGAGGGGGCGCCCACUGCCCCCACCCCCCCCCCACACACACACAUUAGGCUUCGCUUGCCAACUCUCUCCUGGUGUGUCUGUCGGUUGCAGUGUCGGAGAUUGGCGCGGGCCCCCGCCCUCCGCGCCCCCCACGGGAAGGAAGCACCCCCCUAACUAAAAGGAGCGGAGCGGAAAGAAGCCCUCAUUCGCCGGCCAGGAGGCGAGCCGAUGCCGAGCUGCACCGCGUCCACCAUG